Acanthosepion pharaonis is the source of this 104-nucleotide non-coding RNA. Lineage: Eukaryota; Metazoa; Mollusca; Cephalopoda; Sepiida; Sepiidae. The record is from the annotation of a GenBank genome assembly.
UUUCGGCCAUAUCAGGUUGAAACACCGGUUGCCUUAUGAUCACUGAAGUUAAGCAGUAUCGAGCCUGGUCAGUAUCUAGAUGGAUAACCAUUUGUGAAUAGAGG